GCAGUAUGAUGACCGGAGACACAGCUGUUGGAGGAAAAAAGUUUAUGUCAAUUAAAAUCCUGAAUUUCUCUGAUCUGGAAAGAAAAACUGCUAUGAACUCUUUAGGUGGCAGGUGGAGCUGGCCCACGAGACUUACUAGCUGUCGAGAUGUGACGGAGGUGAAAAGGUGAAACCCAAGGGGCAGAGGAAAGGAGGAGGAAGGCGGGGAUCUCGAACCACAGGCACCGUGAGUUCUCUCCACAGCUUCCUCUACCCAUUCUCACCCAGCGCAAGCCAGACUCCUCAUCUCCAAUUUCACUGUUUUAGCAGAAUAGCUAUGGAAAGAAUUACAACUGUGGAAAUAAUAGUAAGAAGAAAAACAAGCUCUCCCAUCUGUGGGACAAGGGGCGGUCCAGUGGAACAAGCAUGGAUCUUGGUAUCAAAGGGCCCAGGUUUUGCCCAGGUUCGUCUGCCCCAAACCUGCAGUGGUGAUGCAGCUCAUCCAGGUGGAGGCCUAGGGCUUGGUCACGGCUGCAGGGUGACCCCCAGGGACUCUCGACCAUCUCUUGGGCCACACUCCCUCUCUCUCCAUCCCAGCCUGUUUGCUGUUCCUCACAUGCCCAGCUUGGCCCCAGUCCUUCUGAGGCCUUUGCCACAGUGUCCCCUUGCCCUAAUUGUGCUUCCCCAACUGUGUGACAGCUCACUUUUGUCUUGCCUCUGCUCGAAUGAAGGUUAUUAAACUUGAUCCUGUCCAUCCU
This 737-nucleotide long non-coding RNA is filed under the name Homo sapiens (human). Its description in RNAcentral is "non-protein coding lnc-NTSR2-4:2". Lineage: Eukaryota; Metazoa; Chordata; Mammalia; Primates; Hominidae. The record is from RNAcentral.